RNAcentral lists this long non-coding RNA (385 nucleotides) under Hordeum vulgare. RNAcentral's name for it is "long non-coding RNA (HVUL_LNC003473)". The record is from RNAcentral. Lineage: Eukaryota; Viridiplantae; Streptophyta; Magnoliopsida; Poales; Poaceae.
AGAUUCACACAGGUACACACUGGACACAAGAACACACAGAGCUUUCCGGCAACACACCUCUGCCGUUUUCUCUUUUGUUAUCUUUCUCAUCUGAUUACAACGCUUAUAUAGUCGCACGUACACACAGUCAAGCCCUCAACUGCCUGAUGCACGAGACCCUCAACUAGCCGGAAGAAACGACCACGAGCUAGCAAUCUCACGACUCGGCCACACGACUUGGCCAUCUCCUCAUAUCCUGGAGACCACGUCUGAUCGUUAGCUUCACACCUAAGCCUAUCCAACAACCAGCCUUAUCCAUGCAAGCAUACGUGCAAAACUCUAACUAACAAUGCAUGCAACUAACUAACACUACUAGCUUUGCAUGUGUACACUUCUCAUAUUUCUC